AUGAAGGCGGCAAUUAAAACACAAAAUAAAUCCAGAUGAUAUAAGUAAGAUGGCUUUGGCAAAGAAAAAAGACUGGCAUGGCAUACUAAAGCAGAAAACAGCAUGCCUAAAUGACCGCUGUUUUGCAUUAUUAGCAUCAUAUAAUCCAGUUCAAAGAGAGGUUAAAAAUUUUCAUGAACAUCAUUCUGAUUUAAUUCCUAAGCUUUCUGAUCUUCUACAAGAGUGGAAAGAAAAACGUAAGAGACUAAAGGAAAGUAGAAAAGCACCAGAUGUUCAUAACAGGAAGAAUGAAAAAGGAAAAAAGGUCAAGUUCAAUUCUCAUGAUAAAUCUUUGCUUCAAAUAAAUAAAAAAAGUGAAGAUGGUCAGUCUUCUGCUUGUAAGCCUAUGGAAAUUAGAUCUGGAGUUUUAUCUGUUCAAACAUACAGUCUGUCAGUUAAACAAGAUUGUAAUUUUAAUAAAAAAGACAAAGAGGAAGUAUCUGAUAAUAGUGGUGAUUCUAAUGAAGAAGAAAUAAGCACAUCUGAAACUAGAACUACAGCUUUGAACACUGCAUCUAAAUUGGAAUCUAAGAUUUCAUGCUACACUGACAGUGAAAAUGAUUUUUCUCAUAGUGAAAUGGUGGACAGUUAUAUUAAAUCUGAGAAAACUGUUAAAAAAACUAAUGCAGAAAAAUAUGAUAGUGAAAAAGAAACUGAAAGCCAUCUACAUAAGAGGAAAAUAUUGCAUCAAAAGUUUAAAAUCAAGGAACCUAUACAGAAAAAUGUUUCAGCAGAUUCUGAAAGGGAAGGAAGUGAUCAAGAAGAGUGUAAUGAUGAAAAUCAUCCAUCUGAUCUUGAAAGUGAAGCAAGUUUUCAAGAAGAGUGUAAUGAUGAAAAUCCAUCAUCUGAUUCUGGAGGCAAAGCUCAUGAUCAUGUAGAGUGCAAUAAUGAAAUUUCAAAGAUUAAAUCAAGUAAAGUUUCUAAGAAAGCAAAUGAAAGAAAUACUGCUGUAAAUAAAAAUUCUAUGAAGGCUGAAGAUUCAGAACAUGUAUUUAAAAAAUCAGAAAAUAUAAAAAGUAGUCUAGCAUUACUUAGUCCAGAAUUAAAUGAAGAAAAUACCAAAUCAACGAAUGCUUUUAAGACUAUAACAGUGUUAAAUUUAGAUGAGCUGCAUGGACUUGAUGAAAUACCAAUUAUAUCUACCUGUGCAGUGGAGGAGAAUGUAGUAGAAAAUAAACAUAGAAAUGAUCCAUUUUUCUUGGGUGGAAGUGAAAUGCUUUCUGAAAAAAAUGAUAUAGAUUCUUCAAUUAAAGAAAUGAAAUAUAAAGAUUUCAAUAAACAAGAAUCAAAACAUAAAUUUUCAGGAAAGAAAAAUUUCUCAGAUUCAUUUUCACAUAGUGUCAGGAAAGGAAAAGAUGAGAAAACAUUUCAUUCAUUUGAAAGAAAAAAAGACUUUAAAAACAAAAACUACGAUUUUCAAAUGAAAAGGGAUUACAAAAGACAUAAGAAUAAUAGCUUCCAGUCAUAUCAAGAAAAAAGCUUAAAUCAUUCUGGAGCUGCCAAAUUUAAAAAUCAAAAGAAGGACUUAACUGCAGAAAAAAAUAGACCUGGAGUGCCAACUGCCCAGAUUCUUUACAGCUGGAUUGGUUGCUUCACAAGCAUAUUGGAGCAGAAGUGUGUACUUUCAACCAAUGAUCAAUAAUGACUCAAUAUUUAUGCUCAUAUUUUGGGAUAAUCUCUUUCUAAAUGGUGUUUAUAAAAGUGUUUCAACAAUGCAGAAAAAACUCCAUGCACUAGCCAAUAAUGUCACUGAGAAAGAGAAACCUCUUCAUCCAUCUUGGGAAGCUAAAAGGAAAUUAAAGGAAGUUGCUGCUUCCAACAUUAAGG
RNAcentral lists this unclassified non-coding RNA (1866 nucleotides) under Stegodyphus dumicola. RNAcentral's name for it is "serum response factor-binding protein 1-like, transcript variant X3". Lineage: Eukaryota; Metazoa; Arthropoda; Arachnida; Araneae; Eresidae. The record is from RNAcentral.